This 226-nucleotide long non-coding RNA is filed under the name Fukomys damarensis (Damara mole-rat). RNAcentral describes it as "lncRNA (ENSFDAG00000031663.1)". The record is from RNAcentral. Lineage: Eukaryota; Metazoa; Chordata; Mammalia; Rodentia; Bathyergidae.
CUUAGAAGAGGUGCACAGGAAGAAGCAGACCUGGAUGUUGGAAGUGUUCCUGCUCCUGCCUCAAAUGGGGGUGCUGGUGCCUUUCCCUUGGGUCUCAGAGAGUCGAGACAGUGACGAUGGCAACACUUUGGCAGUGGCAGUACAGAGGCAAAGCGUGUGCCCGCUUACCCAGCAGGCGCCCAUUUCUGCAGGGGUGAAUAAAGCAAGUGCAAACGCCCGAAGGUAG